UUGUUGAUUACCGUAGCUACUUUCACAC
This 28-nucleotide small RNA is filed under the name Bombyx mori (domestic silkworm). RNAcentral describes it as "ovarian small RNA-38187". Lineage: Eukaryota; Metazoa; Arthropoda; Insecta; Lepidoptera; Bombycidae. The record is from RNAcentral.